GCCAGGCGUGGUGGCGAGCGCCUGUAAUUCCAGCUACUUGGGAGGCUGGGGCAGGAGAAUCGCUUGAGCCCAGGAGGCAGGGGUUGCAGGGAGCCAAGAUAGCACCACUGCACUCCAGCCUGGGUGACAGAGCGAGACUCUGUCUCAA
RNAcentral lists this non-coding RNA (148 nucleotides) under Pan troglodytes (chimpanzee). Lineage: Eukaryota; Metazoa; Chordata; Mammalia; Primates; Hominidae. The record is from Rfam by way of RNAcentral.